Mauremys mutica (yellowpond turtle) is the source of this 360-nucleotide long non-coding RNA. RefSeq lists it as uncharacterized. NCBI's taxonomy places the organism in Eukaryota, Metazoa, Chordata, Testudines, Geoemydidae. The record is from RefSeq and is a predicted model, not a curated record. The transcript has 3 exons.
UGUAGAGGAAGUGCUCCUUGUGCUCCAGGAAUGGUGGAGGGCAGCAUUGUGUCGAGGACAAUAAGCAGCAUUAGCCACACACUUGAGAGCUGCUCCUGCAAGCGCCAUGACCCGACUGCUGAUGGUGAGCCUUCCCUUUCAUCCUUAGGAUUAUGACAAGUUAUUAAUUGCCACCAUUAGCUGCAGCAGCCUGCCUGAGAUCUCUGCUGCUCUCUGGAGACCCACAAAUCCUCCCCAAGCGCUCUUUACCAGCCUUGCAGAUAAUGUACUUACACAUCUCAGAGCUUGCUAAAUAGACUGAGCAGGCCACAGAGUUCACCCUUAGCACGGCUGUUUCAGAAUGCCUUGCACAGACGAAAC